Long non-coding RNA from Branchiostoma floridae (Florida lancelet), 857 nucleotides. RefSeq lists it as uncharacterized. The record is from RefSeq and is a predicted model, not a curated record. Lineage: Eukaryota; Metazoa; Chordata; Leptocardii; Amphioxiformes; Branchiostomatidae. The transcript is spliced from 2 exons.
CUAGUGUUAUGCCAGUUCACCUUUAUCCACGGGUUCACCUAUAUCUGUGCCUUGAAUUGACAUUCCUAGUGUUGUGAAUAUUAUUGUCCUGGCUAAAAAUUAUAACUUUUUCCCUGCUGGUUGGUAAAACAACAUAUACAUACUGGGUUCGUAGCUACAUAACCAACUGGAAGGAAAACUGAUACAGUUUAAAUGUGACCAAAACCAUCGGUACUUUUUAAUCAUCUUGUUGCAUAGAAAACCAUAGCAGCAACGCAAAGUUGUAAUAACGUUCAUUUGGAGCCACAGUCAUACACAUGAAUCACCAUAGAAACAGUCACUUAUCAAUAUUCACGUUGGUCCACUGAUUCGUACAUAUCGAUAUUUGUUCACUGAUAUUCAUCAAUAUCUGUCCGAGACAAGCCAAGGUGUUAUCCAGUAACAUUGCUGAUCUAACACUCACUAUCAUGAACAUAGUCUUGCUUUUGUACAAUAUUCUCUUCCCUCCAGAUGACAAAUCAUCAUUACAAAUGAUGCCACAAAGAUCAUCUUUGUUGGUAGUAGUAGUUGGUAGUAAACAUAGUUAAACACAAAUAAACUUUCUUCAAGCACAUCGGUAAAAUUUUCAACAACGACUUUCUGUCGCCUUGUUAAGGAUCAAUGAUGACAUUAAUCCACUGCAAUAUCCAACAUGAAGGCAAAAUCUUACAUAGCCAGAUUAACAUUACUUUGCUCCUUAUAACUUUCUGUAGAGUUUGAUCUUACGUGUGUACCAAUUUAAAUAACAUUCUGUGAGCCUCCCUCUGAAUAAGGGCUCAAAUUUCAGGGCAGGUAUAUUUUUCUACAAGCAAGAGUUUUUUAUGGACUCUCUGUUCCAU